This 771-nucleotide ribosomal RNA is filed under the name uncultured Neocallimastigales. Its description in RNAcentral is "partial large subunit ribosomal RNA". It matches the Rfam family "Eukaryotic large subunit ribosomal RNA", at positions 18 to 639 of the family's 3401-position model. The record is from RNAcentral. Lineage: Eukaryota; Fungi; Neocallimastigomycota; Neocallimastigomycetes; Neocallimastigales.
UCAGACGAUGCGUCAUGCAUAUCAAUAAGCGGAGGAAAAGAAACUAACAAGGAUUCCCUCAGUAACGGCGAGUGAAGCGGGAAGAGCUCAAAUUUGAAAUCUUGAAAGGUCACCUUUCACGAAUUGUAGUUUAAAGAAGUGUUUUCUGUUACGAUCGUAAUAUAAGUUCUUUGGAAUAGGACAUCACAGAGGGUGAGAAUCCCGUCUAUGAUUGCGAUUUGUAGCUUUGUGAUACACUUUCAAAGAGUCGGGUUGUUUGGGAAUGCAGCCCAAAACGGGAGGUAAAUUUCAUCUAAGGCUAAAUAUUGGCGAGAGAGCCGAUAGCGAACAAGUACCGUGAGGGAAAGAUGAAAAGAACUUUGAAAAGAGAGUUAAAUAGUACGUGAAAUUGUCAAAAGGGAAGCGUUUAACACCAGUGUUGUUUUCUGAAAAUCAACCUCUGUUAGCUUUAUGCAUGUUUGUUUAGACCUAAUCAGCUAUCUUGCAUGUUCUAUUGUUUGCAGUGGUGCACUUUUCAGUUUACAGGUCAACAUCAGUUUUUUUUACCGUAAAAAAGUUAAAGAAAGGUAGCUCAUGGCUCCGGUCGUGAGUGUUAUAGUCUUUUUCCUAUGCGGUAGGAGAGACUGAGGUCUGCAGUGUAGGCUAUUUGGCUAGAUACUCAGGUGCUAUGUGAUACCAUUUCAUAAACAACUUGUUGAUUAUGUUUUGUCUAUUGCAUACUCGCUUGUACUAUCAUACCUACGCUUAGGAUGUUGAAGACUCUACAGAGAU